UUGUGAUGGGAUGAUGAGCUGCUUGUGCGUAAAAUCGUAUCCCCUCAGAGUUUGUUCAAGUCCACAAACCUCUGUCUGUGACGGAGCCCCUCAGACAUGGCUCCUCUAGUCACUAGCAGAUUCCGACAGUGGUUGCUUUCGUAAUCGCUUCCAACAUAAAAGCUCCUUAACGGAAACACGUCUUCUGGACUCUCUGCGUGACAGUUUCCGGCGAGGAGUGGGUGUUCUUACAGGAGGUCCUGAAACCUCCCCACUGUUUUCGCUGGAAGUGUCUCUGAGCCAUCCCUCCAGCUCAGCUCCUCUCCCCCUGCUGGUUCCCUCUUCAGCUGCUGAGUCUCUCCCAACCUGUGUGAGCCCUUUCACCUCCCUGCUGGUUCCCUCUUCAGCUGCUGAGUCUCUCCCAACCUGUGUGAGCCCUUUCACCUCCCUUCCGUCCGAUGGCAGUUCCCUGACAUCCACCUCCCCUCCAGGGCCCCCUUCACCCCCUCUCGCCCCCUCCUCUACGGGCGGUGAGGAGGCAAAACCCCGGAAUGAACUUCCUUCAUCUUCCGAUGUCUCGAACACUUCUCUCCACCUGUUGCGGUUCCUGGUCUCGAAGUACACCUCCUCCUCAGAGUCCAUCUCCCCUUCCCCUUCCGAGUCCGGGAAUCCUUCCAACUCCUCCCCCUCAUCAGUGGUCCCAAAGUAUUCCCUCCGGAACCUCUCCACAGGCUGAGGUUUCCUUGGGAACCUUUGAUGGAACGUUUCUAUCAAUACCUCGUCAUUGAUAUCUUCGGCCAUUACCCAAGUGUUUUCUGACUCCGGUUCUCCUUCCCACGCUACCAAAUACUCCACCUGAUCCCCCUUCCACCUGGCGUCGAGGAUUUCUGCCACAUGGCUGCUGCAUUCUCUUUCUUCUAUGACCGGUCCGCCAUCCCUUCUCGUCCCCCUUCGUACGGUGACAGUAACGACCUGUGAAAUACUGGGUGCAGUUUCAUGUGGUUGGGUAACCGGAGCCUGAAAGCCACUGGGUUGACCUGUUGAAUGACCUCAAAGGGACCCAACCUCCUGGGUCUUAAUUUCUUACAACCUCCUUUGAACGGCACCCCUUGGGUUGACAGCCACACCCUAUCUCCCACCCUUAUGGUUUCACCUUCCCUUCGGUUCUUGUCUGCCUGCCUCUUGUAUUCUUCCUUCGCCCUUUCUAAGUUGAGUUGGAGCUGACGAUGGAUUGCUUCCAUUUCUUCCACAAAAUGCUCGGCUGCCGGGACGCUCCAUCUCUCCCCAUCUCCCCCUGGGAAAGCCCUGGGAUGACACCCAUAAUUAGCCAAGAAGGGGCUCAUCCCUGUGGACACAUUCUCGGCAUUGUUGUAGGCAAAUUCCGCCAGCGCCAACUUUUCUACCCAGUCAUUCUCUCUGUCAUUGACAUAACACCUCAGGUAUUGCUGGAGGACACCGUUUGCUCUUUCCGCCUGCCCGUUGGUUUCAGGGUGCCGGGCAGUCGAAAAAUUGACCUCCACCUGCAGUAAGCUCAUGAGCUUCCUCCAGAACCUGGAAGUAAAUUGUUUUCCUCGGUCUGAGACCACCCUCAAUGGCACCCCGUGCAACCUAAAAAUGUGUUCUACAAAUAACCGCUGUCUCUUCCGCCGUGACUGCAUGCGAGCAAGCUACAAAGUGGCACAUCUUUGUUAGUAGGUCUACCACCACCAUGAUGGCUGUUUUCCCUUUGGACUUCGGCAGAUCAGUCAUAAAAUCUAUCGACACUGCCUCCCAAGGUCGUUCUGGGGUUGGUAAGGGUUCUAAUAGCCCCGCCGGCGCCCGCCUUUCCCCUUUGGCUCGCUGGCAUUGCUCGCACCCUCUUACAUACUCACGUACAUCUUCCCUCACCUUAGGCCACCAAAAUUCCCUGGUGACCAACCACAUGGUUUUGUGUUGUCCAAAAUGCCCGCGCCGUAGGGCUGUCGUGCAACUGCUUGAGUACCCUCCCCCUUAACUCUCCUUCAGGGAUAUACAGUGCCCCUUUGUAAUACAAAGCUCCAUUUCUUUCCUCGAAACCCCUGGUUCCUCUCCCUCACCCCUAAGACCUCUGAGCUUAUUCUGGGCGUAUUCAUCAUUCUCUGUUUCCUCUACCAGUUCUCUUUGUCCCACCAAUGCCGCCCCACACACCCAGCGGUCCUCUGGAAUGACAUGUCUCUCUUCGGGUGCUCCCUCCCCCUCCAAAUAUUCAGGUUUGCGUGAGAGAGCGUCCGCCCUAAUGUUCUCUGGGCCUGGCACGUAACAAAUCUCAAAGUUAAAUUUGGAGAACUCCUGGGCCCAUCUCACUUGCCGUUGGUUGAGCACUCGUGCCGUCCUCCAAUACUCUAGGUUCUUGUGGUCAGUGCACACUUGCACCUUAUGUUGUGCGCCAAUUAGCAGGUGCCUCCAUCUCCGGAACGCCUCAUGAAUGGCUAGUAGUUCUCGGUCAUACACCGUGUAGUUCCUCUCGGAUUUGUUCAGCUUUCGCGAAAAAAAGGCACACGGUCUCCACUCUGACUCCUUCUUCCCUGGCUGCAGAAGCACCGCCCCAAUCGCUCUGUCUGAUGCGUCAGUUUCCACUCUCAUCGGUUUUUGUAAAUCCACAUGCAGGAGUUGUUGUUCCGAGGCGAAGGCCCUUUUAGUUCCUCAAAUGCUCGCUCCGCCUCCUCAGUCCAAACGAACUUCUUCUUACUGCUGAGACAGUCCGUAAUGGGCGCCGUCAGGUGGGCAAAGUUUCGGAUGAACUUACGAUAGAAGUUCCCAAAUCCUAGGAACCUCUGCACAUCCUUCCUUGUUUUGGGUGUUUUCCAUUCCAGCACCGCCUGGACCUUGCCGGGAUCCAUGGCCAAUCCCUUGUCUGACAGGCGAUACCCCAGGAAUUCCACCUCCUUGGUAUGAAACUGACACUUCUCCAGUUUCACCCACAGCUGGUUGGCUUGCAGCCUGCUCAACACUUCUCUGACGUCUCUCACAUGCUGCUCCUCAUUCUCAGAAUACACCAACACGUCGUCUAAAAAGGCCACACAAUUCUUGUAAAGCAAAGGCCCCAGGACGUGGUUCAUAAACGAUUGAAAUGUUGCGGAGCCUGCUUGUAGGCCGAAGGGCAUAACCAAAUAUUCAAAUGCCCCUAAAGGGGUGAACAUAGUGGUUUUCCAUUCAUCCCCCUUCCUUAUUCGUACCAGGUUGUACGCCCCCCUUAGGUCCAGCUUUGUGAAAAUCUUUCCCUUCCGCACCCUUGUCAAAAUGUCGUCAAUCCUGGGCAUAGGGAAGGCCACUGGUUCUGACACUGCAUUUAAGGCCCUGAAGUCACACACCAGCCUCGGCUUGUUCGUGUUUUUUUUAUCCACAAAAAACACUGGGCUGCCCCCACCGCCCUGGACUCUCUGAUGAACCCUCUCUUCAGGUUCUUGUCAAUGAACUCUCUUAACUCCUGCAUCUCUCUGUCUGACAUGGCGUACAGCUUGCCUACAGGGAGCUGUGCUCCAGGGAGUAAAUUGAUUUGACAGUCAAAGGGUCUAUGCGGGGUAGUUGGUCAGCUUCCCUUUCGCUGAAGACGUCACGGAGAUCUGCAUAUUGUCGUGGUACCUUCACGUUCUCCGUUACUUCAGUCCCUGCUAGGGUGGCUUGGGCCCCUGCCAAACCCUUUCCCUCUUUGCAGUGUUCUAAGCAAUGUGCUGAACCAAAAGAAACCACUCUCUGAUGCCAGCCCACCAGCGGAUCAUGUAACGCUAGCCAGCUCAUCCCCAAUAUAAUGGGAGCUCCUCCCAAGGUGGCCACAUUAAAAGCUAUCAGUUCGGUGUGCCUUGCUACCUUCAUUAUCAUUGGGACGGUCUGCAAGCUGACUUCUCCUCCCAACAGCUCCCUGCCAUCGAUCGUGGUCACCUGCAGGGGGUUGCUUAAAGGGAUCGUCUGUAUCUGGUGUUCAGCUGCAAACUCUUUGCUCAUGAAAUUGCAGGAGCUGCCUGAGUCCAACAGCGCCUUUAUCUUUAGAGGGUGUCCGUUUGGCAGCUCUAGCGUCACUUCUAUCACUAGGGCGGGUUUAGGAGGUUCUGGCGUGGGCACUCUCACUGCUCUUUGGCCUGGCUGCUGUGCCCCGACAGUGGCAGCCAGGCGUUGGCUUUUACUUGCUCCGGUAUUUCUUCCUCUCUUCCAUCCACAGCUCCUACCAUCCCUUGCCAUUCCUUCCUCUGGGGGCAGACUCUGGCAAAGUGACCUGGCUGUUGGCAGAGAUAGCAUUUCCGGGCGCCUUUUCCCUCCUUCUUUCCCCCUCACUGGGCUUUGAAACUGCGCGCGCGCGCUGUUCCGAUUUCCAUCGGCUCUGCCGGCGGGAAAGUUGGCUCUGGAAUGUCUGGAAUGCGGAACUCCUUCCAACGUUCCCCUUUCCCUUCCCGCCUCUCCAAUGCUCUCGCCUCCUGGCGCGCUCCUAUGGUCAGCGCUGAUUUGGUCAGCUGGUCCAUAGACUCCGCCCUGGGCGCCCGGGAAAGUUCGUCUUUCACAGCCGAAGAAAGCCCUUCUUCAAAGAGCAUUUGAAUGGGUUCCGCCGAUAAGUCCCACCCCAAUCUGUGAACAAGCAUGGUGAACUCAGUCCAGUACUCACGGACAGAUCGGCUCCCCUGUUUGCAAGCCAUUAACUGUCUGCGCACCACUCCCUGUUCAAUAUCGCUGGAAAACAUCAGAUCCAUGGCGCGAAAGAACUUCAUCGUGUCCUUUAGGACGUCACUAUUCGCUGCCAUCAGGGGUCUAACCCAGUCUCUCGCCCCCUUUUCAAGAUGCUCAAUCACGAAAGCCACUCGUGAUUCCUCGUCAGGGAAUUCAUCAAACUGCAGAUUGAGGGCAUAUUGCAUUUCUGUCCGAAAGCCAUGAUAGUUUUGGGCUCCCCCCCAAACUUCUGCACCAAUCCUGGUACCUUUCUGGCGAGCUGGGUGGCUUUCCCCUUUUUGUCUGCAUCCUGAGCCCUCCUCUCCUCAAGCCUCGCCGUCUGCAUCGCUAGCUGGACCUCCAACACCCGGUACCUUUCUUCCAGGCUUGGACCCGCUCCAGCUCCUGCUUCUCCGGUUCCGGCUGGGUUGCUCAUGAUGCCUUCUCCUGCACAAGCUGCUUUCAAAGACUGUCGGAAUGCUGUGAUGGGAUGAUGAGCUGCUUGUGCGUAAAAUCGUAUCCCCUCAGAGUUUGUUCAAGUCCACAAACCUCUGUCUGUGACGGAGCCCCUCAGACAUGGCUCCUCUAGUCACUAGCAGAUUCCGACAGUGGUUGCUUUCGUAAUCGCUUCCAACAUAAAAGCUCCUUAACGGAAACACGUCUUCUGGACUCUCUGCGUGACAGUUUCCGGCGAGGAGUGGGUGUUCUUACAGGAGGUCCUGAAACCUCCCCACUGUUUUCGCUGGAAGUGUCUCUGAGCCAUCCCUCCAGCUCAGCUCCUCUCCCCCUGCUGGUUCCCUCUUCCCAGCUGCUGAGUCUCUCCCAACCUGUGUGAGCCCUUUCACCUCCCUGCUGGUUCCCUCUUCAGCUGCUGAGUCUCUCCCAACCUGUGUGAGCCCUUUCACCUCCCUUCCGUCCGAUGGCAGUUCCCUGACA
Non-coding RNA from Podarcis lilfordi (Lilford's wall lizard), 5568 nucleotides. Lineage: Eukaryota; Metazoa; Chordata; Lepidosauria; Squamata; Lacertidae. The record is from the annotation of a GenBank genome assembly.